UCAGAGCUCAAGUUCCUCCUCCUGUGACCCCCAUAUCCACAGGGAGAGUGGUCACCUCUAACGGCCUCAGUGUUCAUCGCCUGAGCUGUGUGGGUGGAAUGAUCAUUGUGAGGUCAGCUGAGUACAGAUGUGGAGGUGAAGUAAUCUGCUCUCACGGUGACGCUGUGAACAACGUGAGGAACAGCUGUGAUGGAAAAACCGAGUGUGACAUAAAGUCAAACAUUACUUAUGAUCCUGGAGUCUGCAAAUACCUGGAGACCACCUACGACUGCUUGC
Maylandia zebra (zebra mbuna) is the source of this 276-nucleotide non-coding RNA. The record is from RefSeq and is a predicted model, not a curated record. Lineage: Eukaryota; Metazoa; Chordata; Actinopteri; Cichliformes; Cichlidae.